CCGCGGUUGGAGAACGCUCGGGAGUCGCAGCCAGACCCGCCCUUCCGACAGAGAUGGCUUUGCCUCGGCUUUCGGGAGCUCAGGCAGGAGGGCAGCUUCCGGGAAAGGCGGGGUGUCGGCCCCGGCUCCGGGGAAGAAAGUUUCUGAAAUAAGACGUUCAGGAAGAGUUUCUCUGAAACGAACCCUCCCACUGCAUAAGCGAGCCUCCUUGAGGACUUCUUCAGGCAAGAAUGACCACAGCAGUGAGGAGGGCUGUGUCCCAACACCCCCGGAUCCUUCAGAAGCAGGACAGGAUUUUGACCAUGAACGUGGAAGCAGAGGACCAGUCAUAGGGGAAAGAGACCAUGGCUGCCAGAUGGUGGCCCGAAGAGUAAGGACGAGGUGUUCGGCUCAGGUCAGGAACUUGCUGGAAGAAGAUCCCACGGUGACUCUUCACAGGUACCAGAGCUGGGAGACGCCUCAGAAUGCUCCAGUACCUUAGAUCAGCAUUAGGGAACCUCCAGAUGGGAGGCCAAGCAGCUGCCCUGCCCAAGAGAAGAGUUUCAAGCAGGAGAGAGAAGUAGCAGCCAUGACAGUGAUGAAAGUGACCCAAACUGGAGGCCAGACUUGAGGAGGCUCUGUGAGGAAGAAGCUCGUCCCAUCCUCGGUAUUCUCCGUGGCUCCUCCGAGCGCUGCAGGACUUGGGGUGGAGGCUGGCCGUGGCUGCGGACACCGCGGGUCCAGGCGGAAGGACAAGCGCUUCAGCGCAGCUGCGGCCGGAGACGUGCCUGUGACUGAAGACGGGGCCUGCCUUCUCCCGGACGGCUGCCCGCCGUGCCUUCCGGCUCAUGAAGGAGGAAGGUGAUCUCGUCCUUGCUGCCACCCCUUCCCCCUGACCCACCCCCCCCCCAACACCAGGCAGCCUCGCCAGAUUCGCCCUGAUACCAGAGGCUGGCAACAACCUCCUCCCCACUGUGUCAGCUGCCGCCUGGCGGUGCCGUUGGGGAGGGCGAGGCAGGGAGCAAGCAAGGGAUAGGUACUGUUGCAGGGCUGUCCACGCACGUCCUGGCUGAUGUAGGGACCACCCUUCCCAUGAACUUGAGGCUCUUGGAGGGCAGGGCCUAUGUCUGAAGCAUCUCUGUGUUCACAGUGCCUGGCUUAGCACCUGGCGUGGAGCAGGGGGUGCUCCCGUAGUUACCGGCAGCCAGGGAGUUCACGGAGGUAACGGGGAGAACGGGUGUUGGUGACCGACCUGAAGUACCCGUCCCUGUCCCCCAGCCCUGUUUGGCGUAUGGCAAAGGCCUGGGUUCUGAGGACAGAACGCAUACGGCGCCCCUUGCCUUUCGUUAUCCACAGAGUCCCCGUCUCCCCCGUGAACAAGGGACAAACCUCAUGUAUGCAGGGUUUUGCAUAGCUGUGGAGGUGGUCUCUGCUUUCUUUUAAAGCUAAUAAGUUAGAAAUGGUGUUGGCCAGAUCGUGAGAGCUAGUCCCGAUGCUGGCAGCGCCCCGGGACCCACGCCUCCUGGGAGCUGGGGGCUGCUUCUAGACUGCUGAACCCUGAAGCCGGUGGAGAUGCGAGCAUGUCCCUGAGGGUUAAGGAGAGAAGGCAAAAGAAAGCUAGGGCCCUUGGCAGCUGCCUCUUUAUCUGCUUGCCGAGGGCCUCUGGGCUCACGCAAUGAUCUCUGGGCAGGAGUGCAGCUGACCCCAGGGGUCUCUGCUCCAGGCUUGGAAGCUUGGAAAGUCAUUUUCAGUAUUUACAGUGGGUCUCUGGAAUACUCUCUCACAGUGCUCCCCUGAUGGCCAUCCCAACACCCCACUGAAUAGAAAUUCGUACAGACAGGUAGAAGGCGUGGAAAUGGCUAAUCAAGUGAAGGCGUUGGGGGAACAGGGCGCUGGAGGGGCAGCCUCUGAGCUCGGCACUCCUAGCCAACUGGCAAGGCUGCUCCAGAAGCUUCUAGAAAACGGCUCAAGAAAUCAGGUCUGGAAGGAAAGCCGUAAAGGGCUUCGUGAUAUAUAAAGGCACCCCCUUUCCCUGCUGCCUCCCACCCUGUGCAGGACACCCAUAGAGCCCUGCUUCUAGAAAGGCCAACCCAGGCCCUCGGUUGCUCGCUCAGCACCGGUUCUCCCCAUUGGGGCCCUGAGCCUCUCUGCCCGUGUGUGAUGCUCUCACCGUAGCAGCAGCCAUGCUGCCAAGGGCUUCAGGCCCAUCUCAUGACCCCCCCCUACAGCCCUGGAAAAUAGGAUGCUCCUGUCCUGGUGCUAGAAUGAUUAAAGGAACUUGGGUUAAAUAACUCACCCAACAGCAUGCAGCUGCCAAGCGGAGGCGCAGGGGCUCAGUGCUGGAAGGUUUCGUGUGGCCCAUCGCGGGAUUGUUCCUUGCGUCGCCGGAAUUGCCAGCCCACUUUCUGCCUCUGUUGUGUGGCUGCGUCAAAGUGGCCUCCUUCCACAAUCCCUUCUGCAGCCUGUCAUAGCUACAAAAUAGUUUCUAAGAGACCAAGUCUAGUAGGCACCGAACCUCCCGAUGCCGGUGAUGGUCACGUUCAUGAGAGACCUCCCGCUUCCUGCCAGCAGCCACUGGAAUUUCUGUUGUGGCAACUCGGGGAGCCGCUCAAGUCACGGCAGAUGCAGAAAUCUAUGAUUCUGCUCGCGAUCCUGCAAGUCAGGGAAGUGGGUCGAGUGGAACAGGAACGAGUUAGGUCUGCUGCGCCGUGUCUGGGCCUCAGCUGGAGUGGCCCAGGGGCUGGAUUUGGCUAAGAUGGUUGGACUGUGGCCAGAGUUCAGGGCCUUGGUUCUAUGUGCCAGCUGGCUUCCUCCACUUCAUGGGGCAUCUGCUGAAAUGGGGCUGAGAUGCCCAAAACGGCUUUUACACUCAUGUGUCCGGUGCUUCCGUGUUCUCCCGGUGGCCUCUCUCUUCACAGAGUGACUUAAUCUGAUCCGUGCUCUUUGUUGCCACAGAACGUGCCUUGCCCCAAGCCCCUACUGCAGGGAUGCUGCCGCUGGGGGCUGUGUUGUACCACAUGACCCUGCGUCCUCCCCCCUCCCUCCCCCCAGGAGGACCAGGACCCAGUAGAGCUGCCCAAUCACUUUUGAAGUCCCCUGGCUGGCUCAAAAAUUCGAGGGAUGCCAGUCAGACCAGUCAGAUUCCCCUUUGAGGCCAUUUGAACCAAAAAAUCAGACAGCGGCACAGCGCAUGACAGGAUGUCGUGAGGGCCAGUAGGGCCCGGAUGGACCAGUCUGCUGGCCAGGAUUAAACUGAAGAAGAAACUCAGGAGAUAGAAGAGAAACAGGCCAUGAAGUGAGAGAACAUACUGAGCGAGGAGGGAACCGUGAGCCUUUUACUGGCAAGGGGAGAAAGGAGGGAAUGGCGAGAGCAGAGCUGAGGCCUGUAAGAGGCCGAGGAGGAAGCCAGUCCCGGGGCCCAGCCUGGCCAUGGGUGUCAUGGCAGCAAGCCUGUUUAUUCCCUUGGCUGUCAGGUGGCUUUGAAGUGGGCAUGUGACCUGGUCCUAAGAAUACAAAUUAUAACAAAGUGGCUCGAGAACCUUCUGGGAAGAGCUUUGCUUUUUGAUUAAAGGGAGGAGGCCUGUCCCUCCAUCCGGCUUUGAACAUGGAUGUCGGAGGACAUGAUAUUUAAGACUGUAGCCACCAUCUUGAGACCUAGAGGCAACCAGACCCAAGGAAAAAGCCAACAUACCAAGGUUGGCCUAGAGGACAGACAGAGCCUGGGUCCCUGAUGAUAUCGUUGAGCCACUAUACCUAUCCUGGAACCACCAAUUUCCAGUCUUAUUGAUAUAUUAAUUAGAUGCCCUUAUUUUCUAAGCAGAUUUCUGCUAUUUGAAACUAAGGCAUUCUUAACCAAUAUGGCAUUCUUCUGAACCUGCCCAUCAUCAACUCCUUAGAGCCCCAUAGUUGAGAUACAAAUGGAAACCUACCCCAAACUUAGCCAGUGGAAAUCUUAAUUUCCAUGGUAGGAAAUACAGGUCAAGAUUUCUCACAGCCUACAGAGCAGUUCCAGCACUUCGUCCCAAAUCCCAGGGCCUGUUGGACACAAAUGAGGAAAGAUAGACUCAGGAAAGUUCUAGAUACAUGGAGACGAGUCUUCUAAAAUGGGGCUCAGUGAUGAAUUUGUGGAUGAACAAGUUCAGUGGAGGGGGAGGGGGAGAGCCUAAGCAUGGGCCAGGAAGCCAUGGAAAGCACACGGAGCAGCGAGCUGGAACGGGCAGAUGGUGGAGGGUCAGAUGGCUUCUGCAGGAGACCAUGGUGCACAGCAGGGUUUUCUAAGUGCCGGGCACUAGCUGGGAGGGGCUAUGGCAACUGGAGCUAAACCGGGGAAACUAGGCUUUAGUGAACCCUCCAGCUACUCCUAGAGGCAUUUUAGAUCCUCUGAGGAACAAGGUGGCCUGAAUUGUGGCCGUUCGCCCUCUGUGCAGGCGCCCCCCUAACCACCACACUCUUCACUCUCUCUUCUCCACCUGUCCCUUUUUCUCCACCACUUCUUCCUGUCUUCUCAGCAAAGCCAGGAGCCAGAAAUGCACAAGGUCUGAAUCUCUUCUGCCUCAGCUGGAGAGUAAAGAAAGCGGAAGGCAAUGUCUUUAGGAAACACUGAAGCCUCGUCUGGGGAUAAUCCGGGUUAGCCCAGGAGAAAGGCAGCAGUGGGCUGCUAAGGACUAGAUGAAGCCCCAGCCCUGAUCAAGCUGUGGGGACAGGGACGGGGGCGGGGCGUGCUUCUUCAGUAACACCACAGAAAAUGUGUGGUCCUUCCUUCCCUCAUGAAAUGAGAAGUUAAACUCAAGAACUCUUGGCCUUCCUCUUUCGAUUUCCGGUUUCAGACACACAACAAAGAUACACUGGCACCCUCCUCCCACAGUCAGAACUUGAGAGAAGUCACCCACAGGUCAUCAGUAGUAAAGAUUGGCCCCUGGAAGGCCAUCAAAUGAGUGGGGCGCAAACACAGAUAUGUUGCAAUGACAUUCGAAUUGGUGACCAGCAGAUUCUGCCACUAAGCCUCGUGCCCUCUGCGUGUUGCAGGGGUCCUCCCUGCCCAGGGGCCCAAACCAAGCCAACCCUUUUGUUUGCCUGCUGGGUUACUUCAUUUUGCAGAAGUGUAUAGAAUACCUUGUAGAAUUAUAAGCCAAGCAUAUAAAAGCCAUGAUACUAUUAGGAAGAUAAGUCACUAAAGACAAAAGCAAAACAAAACAAAAUUCCUGACAUAGAGAAAAGAAUGAAAGUGCUAGGGUGGAUGAAGCAAAAAGUUUAACCUCCUCCUUUGAUGUGAUUGCUGCUUCAAUGUGAUAUACUUAGUAAGCCCUGGCUCCUCCCCCCUCCCCCAAGUUGUCCCAUACAUUGCAAGGGUUUCUCUGAAUCCAAUAAGGAAGAGAACCAAAGGCUUUUCUUCUCUCUUGGUAAUCAAGGUUUUUUUCUUCAGUAUGAAUUAGCCUGAUUACAGAUUAAACACUCUCCCACAGUCUGUGCGACACGAGAGUGUCUUUCCCGUGAAUUCUCCAGUGACGAGAAAAGGCUGCACGAUCCCCAAGCGAUUUUCCACAUUGAUUAUACUCACCGGCUUCUCCCGAGGAUGAGUGAUCUUGUGUUCAAUACGCUCCAAGCUUUGCCCUAGUCAUUGCACGUGACUGGCUCAUGUCCCCACUAAGUUAGCUGACGUUGUCUAAGGCUGGAACCCGGGCUGAAGGCUCUCCCUCACCAAUUAUGCCCACAGAGCACCUCCCUGCUCUGAGAUCCCAGAUGUCUAAUUAGCUCUGAGCACCGUCAAAGCAUUUUCACAGCCAUUAUAUGCAUGUGGUUUUUCUCCAGUGUGAAUUCUCUGACGUUGAAUGAGCUCUGCUUCCCUGAAAGCCCUCACAUUUAUUGCAUCUGUAGAGUUCCUGUUCCUUGUGAAUGAGCUGAUUCCGUGUGGUACUAAAAUGCUGGCAGAUGCCCCCCCAAAUCAGGAUUCUCUGUAAGAGGAAUGUUCCAGUGUUUAGUAGGACGGGAGCCCCGCCCCUGUACCUCGCCCCCCGUAAAAAUUGCCUGUAUUCAUAACAUGUUCUCUCUAAUACAGAUACUGUAUUACUGAAUAAAUUCUGACCUCUGUUCUAA
Long non-coding RNA from Hyaena hyaena (striped hyena), 6072 nucleotides. RefSeq lists it as uncharacterized. The transcript is spliced from 4 exons. The record is from RefSeq and is a predicted model, not a curated record. Lineage: Eukaryota; Metazoa; Chordata; Mammalia; Carnivora; Hyaenidae.